GCUAACUCCGUGCCAGCAGCCGCGGUAAUACGGAGGGUGCGAGCGUUAAUCGGAAUUACUGGGCGUAAAGCGCACGUAGGCGGUUUGUUAAGCUAGAUGUGAAAGCCCCGGGCUUAACCUGGGAAUAGCAUUUAGAACUGGCAGGCUAGAGUUUUGAAGAGGGUGGUAGAAUUUCCUGUGUAGCGGUGAAAUGCGUAGAUAUAGGAAGGAAUAUCAGUGGCGAAGGCGGCCACCUGGUCAAAAACUGACGCUGAGGAGCGAAAGCGUGGGGAGCAAACAGGAUUAGAUACCCUUGUAGUC
RNAcentral lists this ribosomal RNA (300 nucleotides) under uncultured Aliidiomarina sp. Its description in RNAcentral is "bacterial SSU rRNA". It matches the Rfam family "Bacterial small subunit ribosomal RNA", at positions 496 to 795 of the family's 1533-position model. Lineage: Bacteria; Pseudomonadati; Pseudomonadota; Gammaproteobacteria; Alteromonadales; Idiomarinaceae. The record is from RNAcentral.